Molecule: ribosomal RNA, 442 nt
Filed under: uncultured bacterium
Lineage: Bacteria
Description: partial 16S ribosomal RNA
Rfam family: Bacterial small subunit ribosomal RNA
Source: RNAcentral
CCUACGGGUGGCAGCAGUAGGGAAUCUUUCACAAUGGGCGAAAGCCUGAUGGAGCAAAGCCGCGUGCAGGAUGAAGGCCUUCGGGUUGUAAACUGCUUUUAUAAGCGAGAAAUAUGAUGGUAACUUAUGAAUAAGGAUCGGCUAACUACGUGCCAGCAGCCGCGGUCAUACGUAGGAUCCGAGCAUUAUCCGGAGUGACUGGGUGUAAAGAGUUGCGUAGGUGGCAUAAUAAGUAGCUAGUGAAAGCUGGUGGCUCAACCAUUCAGACUAUUAGCUAAACUGUUAAGCUCGAGACCGUUAGGGGUAACUGGAAUGUCUAGUGUAGGAGUGAAAUCCGUAGAUAUUAGAAGGAACACCGAUAGCGUAGGCAGGUUGCUGGGACGGUUCUGACACUAAGGCACGAAAGCGUAGGGAGCAAACGGGAUUAGAUACCCUUGUAGUC